AAAGGGAGACCUAAUUCAGGUAAAAGACGAAAAAAAGUAGUCGCUACCAAGAAUCAAUCCCAAAAGGUCGGAGCGAGGCGAAAUUGGCUUUCAAACUAGGUUCUGGGUUCAAACAAGACAUGAAUCAGGAACAAGGGCUAUUAGCUCAGGUGGUUAGAGCGCACCCCUGAUAAGGGUGAGGUCCCUGGUUCGAGUCCAGGAUGGCCCACCUGCACAGGUGGCAAAAACAAGAGAAGCGAGGAAUCAGCACCUUAUCUUACUUAUAUAGUAAGAGAGAAUGCUGGCUCUGAGUAAAGAGUCCAGAGGAACCUUGAAAACUGCAUAGAGCUAGGUGAAAAAGCCAAAAAAGAAGACCGCAAG
This 360-nucleotide transfer RNA is filed under the name uncultured Microcystis sp. RNAcentral describes it as "partial 16S-23S ribosomal RNA intergenic spacer". The stretch from base 135 to 208 matches the Rfam family "tRNA". The record is from RNAcentral. Lineage: Bacteria; Bacillati; Cyanobacteriota; Cyanophyceae; Chroococcales; Microcystaceae.